RNAcentral lists this ribosomal RNA (253 nucleotides) under uncultured bacterium. RNAcentral describes it as "partial 16S ribosomal RNA". It matches the Rfam family "Bacterial small subunit ribosomal RNA", at positions 524 to 776 of the family's 1533-position model. The record is from RNAcentral.
UACGUAGGGUCCGAGCGUUGUCCGGAAUUACUGGGCGUAAAGAGCUCGUAGGUGGUUUGUCGCGUUGUUCGUGAAAACUCACAGCUCAACUGUGGGCGUGCGGGCGAUACGGGCAGACUUGAGUACUGCAGGGGAGACUGGAAUUCCUGGUGUAGCGGUGGAAUGCGCAGAUAUCAGGAGGAACACCGGUGGCGAAGGCGGCCUUCUGGACAGUAACUGACGCUGAGACGCGAAAGCGUGGGGAGCAAACAGG